UGGUUUGGUUGCACGUUUGCA
This 21-nucleotide microRNA is filed under the name Zea mays. Its description in RNAcentral is "zma-miR11970-3p". The record is from miRBase by way of RNAcentral. Lineage: Eukaryota; Viridiplantae; Streptophyta; Magnoliopsida; Poales; Poaceae.